Molecule: unclassified non-coding RNA, 401 nt
Filed under: soil metagenome
Description: partial contains 5.8S ribosomal RNA, internal transcribed spacer 2, and large subunit ribosomal RNA
Rfam family: 5.8S ribosomal RNA (bases 1-121)
Source: RNAcentral
GAUGAAGAACGUAGCGAAAUGCGAUAAGUAAUGUGAAUUGCAGAAUUCAGUGAAUCAUCGAAUCUUUGAACGCACCUUGCGCCCUUUGGCUAUUCUGAAGGGCAUGCCUGUUUGAGUAUCAUGAACACCUCAACUCUCACGGUUCGCCGUGAUGAGCUUGGACUUUGGGGGUAUUGCAGGCCCACCGCCGGCUCCUCUCAAAUGAAUCAGCUUGCCAGUGUCUGGUGGCAUCACAGGUGUGAUAACUAUCUACGCUUGUGGUUUUCCGCCAGGUAACCUCCAGCGAUGGAGGUUCGCUGGAGCUCACAAACGUCUCUCCUCAGCGAAGACAGCUCUUGAACGUUUGAUCUCAAAUCAGGUAGGACUACCCGCUGAACUUAAGCAUAUCAAUAAGCGGAGGA